CUUCUUAGUCAUUUUGUUUUUUGAGAUGGGGUCUUGCUCUGUCAUCCAGGCUGGAGUGUGGAUGUCAUGAUCACAGCUCACUGCAGCCUCAACCUUCCAGAUUCAAGUGAUCCUCCUGCCUCAGCCUCUUGAGUAGCUGGGACUACAGGCCCAUGCCACCAUGCCUCGCUAAUUUUUGUUUUUUUUUUUAAUUUCUUUUUUUGUUUUACACAGAGUCUCCCUACAGUGCCCAGGCUGGUCUCGAACUCCUGGGCUCAAGUGACCCUCUUGCCUUGGCCUCCCCAAAGUGCUGGGGUUACAGGCAUGAGCCACCGCACCCAGCCAUCUUAUUUGUUUAAAGCUAGGCCUUGUAUAACACAAGAACUAUUAUUUUAAUGUUCUAAAAUAUAAACCAUUCUAGGAAGAUGGGGUGUUGGUCUUUUAUCAAUUGCAGCCCUCAUGAACCAUGUGACUGACGGACUACUCUGGCAGACACAGCCAGAUUGUCACAAACUCCUCCCUAAAAAUUCUGCAAGGGAAGUCAAGGUCUCUCGUUAUUCAGGGUUGGCACGCCCACCUGACACUAUGGGGUUAGAGCGUGUAAGACAGGCUAGUGGUUAUAGAUCACCUCUGUGUGCUGGUACGUUUUCAGAAAAGCUUAUCAGGAAGCAAAUGGGUGAGAGGGGUGCUGUUUUAGGGAUAAGCCAGACACGUCUCUAAAUCAGCAAAUAAUCAGCAAACGUCUGCCUCUUUUGGAUUGAUGCUAUUAUCUGUGUCCACAAGAUGUCAAUCUCCUACCCCAUCUCCUUUUUUUUCUUCCAGAGACACGGUCUCACUCUGUCACCCAGGCUGGAGUGCAGUGGUGCAAUCAUAGCUCACUGCAGCUUCAAAUUCCUGGCCUCAACUCAUCCUAGGACUCAAAUGAAGCUAGGACUAUAGGCACACAGCACCAUCACAGGCUUUUUUUUUUUUAAGAGGGAGAUGGGGUCUUGCUAUGUUGUUGCUCAGGCUGGCCUUGAAUACCUGGCCUCAAGGAAUCCUCCUGCCACAGCCCCCUAAAGUACUGGGAUUACAGGCAUGAGCCAGGACAUGUGGCCCACAAGAUGCCAAUCUCAUGAUUCAGCUUAGUGACAUUAGUAAAUUGCUUCUGACACCCUUCACCCAGGGGUGCAUGACCACCCCCAGAUGGAAACAGCGUUGUGAAGAUACUCAAUAGCAGAGUCUGCCACUGACAAUCUUCAAGCCUCUCCAUCCUUUCUGCGAAGGCCCAGUUUGCCUUUACACCCACCACAGUCACUGGGCCACAGUGUGGUGGGCCACAGGGGCUGGAUGACGGAACAAGGCCUCCUGGACGCCACCUGAACGGUUGUGCACAUGGUCUGAGAUAUGGCGAACCUCGUGGUUUCUUACUCUUGUGAUGCAUUGCAGCUGGAAUGCUCUCAUCUAAACAACCCAUCCCCACUGCAAAUGUGCUGCAGUGAAUCCUUUAGGGGUGGGUUUUCCCAAAGCCAUCUCCUGGAGAUCCUGAGACAUCGGUGCUUCUCUCAAACUACCCACAGGAGGGCAGUGUGCGUUCCAGAGCAGCAACUUCCUAGGAACAGAGAGGCUUGCAUCUCGGCCUCUUUAAUCAGGAAGACACCCAUGAAGCAGGGACUCCAGUGACAGACUCUGGAGCCAAUGUGCCAAAACCCACCUCCACCACUUACCAGCUCUGGGACCUCCUACAGGUCACUGAAUCUGUUUUCUCAUCUAUACAAUGGACAAUG
Molecule: non-coding RNA, 1745 nt
Organism: Callithrix jacchus (white-tufted-ear marmoset)
Lineage: Eukaryota; Metazoa; Chordata; Mammalia; Primates; Cebidae
Source: RefSeq, a predicted model, not a curated record